AGGACGAACGCUGGCGGCGUGCUUAACACAUGCAAGUCGAGCGACGCUCCUCCUUCGGGAGGAUGACGGAGCGGCGAACGGGUGAGUAACACGUGGGCAACCUGCCCCUAGCUCUGGGAUAACCCCGAGAAAUCGGGACUAAUACCGGAUAUGAAGUCGGACGGCAUCGUCUGACUUGGAAAGUUUUUCGGCUAGGGAUGGGCCCGCGGCCUAUCAGCUUGUUGGUGGGGUAAUGGCCUACCAAGGCGACGACGGGUA
This 258-nucleotide ribosomal RNA is filed under the name uncultured bacterium. Its description in RNAcentral is "partial small subunit ribosomal RNA". It matches the Rfam family "Bacterial small subunit ribosomal RNA", at positions 26 to 285 of the family's 1533-position model. The record is from RNAcentral.